AGAGUUUGAUCCUGGCUCAGAUUGAACGCUGGCGGCAGGCCUAACACAUGCAAGUCGAGCGGCAGCACGGGUACUUGUACCUGGUGGCGAGCGGCGGACGGGUGAGUAAUGCCUAGGAAUCUGCCUGGUAGUGGGGGAUAACGCUCGGAAACGGACGCUAAUACCGCAUACGUCCUACGGGAGAAAGCAGGGGACCUUCGGGCCUUGCGCUAUCAGAUGAGCCUAGGUCGGAUUAGCUAGUUGGUGAGGUAAUGGCUCACCAAGGCGACGAUCCGUAACUGGUCUGAGAGGAUGAUCAGUCACACUGGAACUGAGACACGGUCCAGACUCCUACGGGAGGCAGCAGUGGGGAAUAUUGGACAAUGGGCGAAAGCCUGAUCCAGCCAUGCCGCGUGUGUGAAGAAGGUCUUCGGAUUGUAAAGCACUUUAAGUUGGGAGGAAGGGCAGUUACCUAAUACGUAUCUGUUUUGACGUUACCGACAGAAUAAGCACCGGCUAACUCUGUGCCAGCAGCCGCGGUAAUACAGAGGGUGCAAGCGUUAAUCGGAAUUACUGGGCGUAAAGCGCGCGUAGGUGGUUUGUUAAGUUGAAUGUGAAAUCCCCGGGCUCAACCUGGGAACUGCAUCCAAAACUGGCAAGCUAGAGUAUGGUAGAGGGUGGUGGAAUUUCCUGUGUAGCGGUGAAAUGCGUAGAUAUAGGAAGGAACACCAGUGGCGAAGGCGACCACCUGGACUGAUACUGACACUGAGGUGCGAAAGCGUGGGGAGCAAACAGGAUUAGAUACCCCCGUAGUCCACGCCGUAAACGAUGUCAACUAGCCGUUGGGAGCCUUGAGCUCUUAGUGGCGCAGCUAACGCAUUAAGUUGACCGCCUGGGGAGUACGGCCGCAAGGUUAAAACUCAAAUGAAUUGACGGGGGCCCGCACAAGCGGUGGAGCAUGUGGUUUAAUUCGAAGCGACGCGAAGAACCUUACCAGGCCUUGACAUCCAAUGAAUCCUUUAGAGAUAGAGGAGUGCCUUCGGGAGCAUUGAGACAGGUGCUGCAUGGCUGUCGUCAGCUCGUGUCGUGAGAUGUUGGGUUAAGUCCCGUAACGAGCGCAACCCUUGUCCUUAGUUACCAGCACGUAAUGGUGGGCACUCUAAGGAGACUGCCGGUGACAAACCGGAGGAAGGUGGGGAUGACGUCAAGUCAUCAUGGCCCUUACGGCCUGGGCUACACACGUGCUACAAUGGUCGGUACAGAGGGUUGCCAAGCCGCGAGGUGGAGCUAAUCUCACAAAACCGAUCGUAGUCCGGAUCGCAGUCUGCAACUCGACUGCGUGAAGUCGGAAUCGCUAGUAAUCGCGAAUCAGAAUGUCGCGGUGAAUACGUUCCCGGGCCUUGUACACACCGCCCGUCACACCAUGGGAGUGGGUUGCACCAGAAGUAGCUAGUCUAACCUUCGGGGGGACGGUUACCACGGUGUGAUUCAUGACUGGGGUGAAGUCGUAACAAGGUAACCGUA
RNAcentral lists this ribosomal RNA (1503 nucleotides) under Pseudomonas syringae pv. theae. RNAcentral describes it as "bacterial SSU rRNA". It matches the Rfam family "Bacterial small subunit ribosomal RNA". Lineage: Bacteria; Pseudomonadati; Pseudomonadota; Gammaproteobacteria; Pseudomonadales; Pseudomonadaceae. The record is from RNAcentral.